This 253-nucleotide ribosomal RNA is filed under the name uncultured bacterium. Its description in RNAcentral is "partial 16S ribosomal RNA". It matches the Rfam family "Bacterial small subunit ribosomal RNA", at positions 524 to 776 of the family's 1533-position model. The record is from RNAcentral.
UACGGAGGGUGCAAGCGUUAUCCGGAUUUACUGGGUUUAAAGGGUGCGUAGGCGGACAGGUAAGUCAGUGGUGAAAUCUCUGGGCUUAACCCAGAAACUGCCGUUGAUACUAUUUGUCUUGAAUAUCCUGGAGGUAGGCGGAAUAUGUCAUGUAGCGGUGAAAUGCUUAGAUAUGACAUAGAACACCGAUAGCGAAGGCAGCUUACUACAGGAUGAUUGACGCUGAGGCACGAAAGCGUGGGGAGCAAACAGG